This 1494-nucleotide long non-coding RNA is filed under the name Brassica rapa (field mustard). RNAcentral's name for it is "long non-coding RNA (BRAP_LNC002826)". Lineage: Eukaryota; Viridiplantae; Streptophyta; Magnoliopsida; Brassicales; Brassicaceae. The record is from RNAcentral.
UUUUUUUAAAUAUAAUCACAUUAGUGAAAAUUCAACGUUCAGAACAAAAAAAAAUUACAAACUAUAAAGUCCGAAAGUAACUCUAUGGUACCUACAUAAUAAAUUAACAAAAGAAAUUAACUUUGUAAAUGAGAGAGAGAAAGGGAAAUUAAAAGUGAUAGCAUACAACCUCUGUUGUAGGUGUUCUUGAUGCCACAAACAACACGAACAAUGUCUGCAGAAAAAUUUGGUAAGAAAGGUUGAAUACAGAUGGACAAUUAUUAAACCAAUAAAAUGUUAGCUAAUUGAAAAACCAAGAUUAGAAACAAAUACCCGGCAAAUCCACGUUUGUAUUAACUAAAGGCAUGAGCAGCUCAUAUUUCUGAAACCUGAACUGUUCUGUAGAAUAAAGACGUCUACAUAAGCUCCACAAAGUUGGUCAGGUCGUUGAAGCGAAUGGAAACUGGUGAGUCAGUGAGUUUGAAGUGGAUGUAACUUCUUGUGACAUUGAAUACACUUAGCACAGAUGGCAUCUUCCUUCAACAGGUGCUUCAAAGUAUUGAGUCUAUGAGCCCCAGUAUAACCUUGAACCAAGAUGGACUGUAAAACUUAGGGAUACUGGUGAUCACUUUCAAAAUUUCAUAAAGGUGCCAAAAAAAUGUUGUGAUUUGUUACCCUUCUGAAGAUUGGAAAAUUCUUUGAAGAACUUACUUUAGUGCUUUCGCAGCUGUGGCUGCAACACAUAAUGAUCCAACUUUAAUAUGUUCAAAUCCUCAAUCCACCUAUUUAUGCCAAAUACGAAUUCCUGUAACUCCUGAGAAGCAUAAAAGAAAUCAGUAUUAGAAAACAAUAUUCUCUUUAGGUGUGAUUGGAUGGUUAUACCAAGGAUUUUAAAGGCAAUCAACGAUCUGGGUUUUUCCACCGUAGGCGGAAGAAGACGACGCUGGUGAUGCUCGUCGACUCCUCUGACUCUGAUCCCCUUGAGACGACUUUCUUCGUUGGAAGAAGCUUUGUGAUUUCUCUUGGGCACCUUGCGUGACAUAUAUAUAUAUACAGAGCUUCUAUAUACAGAACUUCGGUGAUGGGGAAGGUGAAAAAUCUUGAUCGAUGAGGAGAAAGUGGAUGACUUGAUUGCAUACUAUAAUCAUUGUUAAUAACUCUGUCAAUUGAAUUGAGGGAGAGAUGAACCGACGUGGUUACGUUUCAUACACCAGCGAGAAAGAACCUGUAUCAACGUGGAUUAGGGUUCGUCUUCUUCUCAGCUUAAAACAUGAUUUCAACCGAUGUACCAAAUCUCUUAUCGUCUGUCUUCUUCUCUCUACAGAAGAAUUUCUCUUCUUUUUCUUUGAGAAUUUUGUCAUAGUCUGGCUUCAACCGAAGCUUGGAUCAUCACACCGAGGCCCGUAUCAAAAGAAUCAUUAAAAGCCAAGAAGAAACGUAAAGAUGAAAUAAUUCGGAGAUGACACGUGUCGAUACUAUGGAGCUCGAAUUUAUGUGCUGGCAGCUGAGGUGGAC